AAGUAUCCUAGAAAGGUGUUAAACUUUUAAUUUAACUACGAUACAAGUUAUCCUU
RNAcentral lists this transfer RNA (55 nucleotides) under Hemiarthrum setulosum. RNAcentral describes it as "tRNA-Lys". The record is from RNAcentral. Lineage: Eukaryota; Metazoa; Mollusca; Polyplacophora; Chitonida; Hemiarthridae.